Molecule: ribosomal RNA, 379 nt
Filed under: uncultured eukaryote
Lineage: Eukaryota
Description: partial 18S ribosomal RNA
Rfam family: Eukaryotic small subunit ribosomal RNA
Source: RNAcentral
CAAUAGCGUAUAUUAAAGUUGUUGCAGUUAAAAAGCUCGUAGUUGGAUUUGUGGUGUACUUUGGCGGCCCGUCACACUGUGAUGGAGCUUGCUGAAGUCGCCAUCCUUGGGUGGAUCCUGUGUGGCAUUAAGUUGUCGUGCAGGGGAUGCCCAUCGUUUACUGUGAAAAAAUUAGAGUGUUCAAAGCAGGCUUAUGCCGUUGAAUAUAUUAGCAUGGAAUAAUAAGAUAGGACCUUGGUACUAUUUUGUUGGUUUGCGCACCAAGGUAAUGAUUAAUAGGGACAGUUGGGGGUAUUCGUAUUUCAUUGUCAGAGGUGAAAUUCUUGGAUUUUUGAAAGACGAACUACUGCGAAAGCAUUUACCAAGGAUGUUUNCAUUA